This 1372-nucleotide ribosomal RNA is filed under the name uncultured bacterium. RNAcentral's name for it is "bacterial SSU rRNA". It matches the Rfam family "Bacterial small subunit ribosomal RNA", at positions 28 to 1381 of the family's 1533-position model. The record is from RNAcentral.
GAUGAACGCUGGCGGCGUGCCUAAUACAUGCAAGUCGAGCGAACGGACGAGAAGCUUGCUUCUCUGAUGUUAGCGGCGGACGGGUGAGUAACACGUGGAUAACCUACCUAUAAGACUGGGAUAACUUCGGGAAACCGGAGCUAAUACCGGAUGAUAUUUUGAACCGCAUGGUUCAAAAGUGAAAGACGGUCUUGCUGUCACUUAUAGAUGGAUCCGCGCUGCAUUAGCUAGUUGGUAAGGUAACGGCUUACCAAGGCAACGAUGCAUAGCCGACCUGAGAGGGUGAUCGGCCACACUGGAACUGAGACACGGUCCAGACUCCUACGGGAGGCAGCAGUAGGGAAUCUUCCGCAAUGGGCGAAAGCCUGACGGAGCAACGCCGCGUGAGUGAUGAAGGUCUUCGGAUCGUAAAACUCUGUUAUUAGGGAAGAACAUAUGUGUAAGUAACUGUGCACAUCUUGACGGUACCUAAUCAGAAAGCCACGGCUAACUACGUGCCAGCAGCCGCGGUAAUACGUAGGUGGCAAGCGUUAUCCGGAAUUAUUGGGCGUAAAGCGCGCGUAGGCGGUUUUUUAAGUCUGAUGUGAAAGCCCACGGCUCAACCGUGGAGGGUCAUUGGAAACUGGAAAACUUGAGUGCAGAAGAGGAAAGUGGAAUUCCAUGUGUAGCGGUGAAAUGCGCAGAGAUAUGGAGGAACACCAGUGGCGAAGGCGACUUUCUGGUCUGUAACUGACGCUGAUGUGCGAAAGCGUGGGGAUCAAACAGGAUUAGAUACCCUGGUAGUCCACGCCGUAAACGAUGAGUGCUAAGUGUUAGGGGGUUUCCGCCCCUUAGUGCUGCAGCUAACGCAUUAAGCACUCCGCCUGGGGAGUACGACCGCACGGUUGAAACUCAAAGGAAUUGACGGGGACCCGCACAAGCGGUGGAGCAUGUGGUUUAAUUCGAAGCAACGCGAAGAACCUUACCAAAUCUUGACAUCCUUUGACAACUCUAGAGAUAGAGCCUUCCCCUUCGGGGGACAAAGUGACAGGUGGUGCAUGGUUGUCGUCAGCUCGUGUCGUGAGAUGUUGGGUUAAGUCCCGCAACGAGCGCAACCCUUAAGCUUAGUUGCCAUCAUUAAGUUGGGCACUCUAAGUUGACUGCCGGUGACAAACCGGAGGAAGGUGGGGAUGACGUCAAAUCAUCAUGCCCCUUAUGAUUUGGGCUACACACGUGCUACAAUGGACAAUACAAAGGGCAGCGAAACCGCGAGGUCAAGCAAAUCCCAUAAAGUUGUUCUCAGUUCGGAUUGUAGUCUGCAACUCGACUACAUGAAGCUGGAAUCGCUAGUAAUCGUAGAUCAGCAUGCUACGGUGAAUACGUUCCCGGGUCU